This 263-nucleotide ribosomal RNA is filed under the name uncultured Stenotrophomonas sp. RNAcentral describes it as "partial 16S ribosomal RNA". It matches the Rfam family "Bacterial small subunit ribosomal RNA", at positions 90 to 354 of the family's 1533-position model. Lineage: Bacteria; Pseudomonadati; Pseudomonadota; Gammaproteobacteria; Lysobacterales; Lysobacteraceae. The record is from RNAcentral.
CGUAAGNGGCGGACGGGUGAGGAAUACAUCGGAAUCUACUCUGUCGUGGGGGAUAACGUAGGGAAACUUACGCUAAUACCGCAUACGACCUACGGGUGAAAGCAGGGGAUCUUCGGACCUUGCGCGAUUGAAUGAGCCGAUGUCGGAUUAGCUAGUUGGCGGGGUAAAGGCCCACCAAGGCGACGAUCCGUAGCUGGUCUGAGAGGAUGAUCAGCCACACUGGAACUGAGACACGGUCCAGACUCCUACGGGAGGCAGCAGGG